Long non-coding RNA from Oreochromis aureus, 1613 nucleotides. The record is from Ensembl. Lineage: Eukaryota; Metazoa; Chordata; Actinopteri; Cichliformes; Cichlidae.
CAACAACACACGGGGGGUGUGGUUGGGCAUGCAAGACAUCCUAAACCACAGAGGCUGCACUGUGAAAACAGGAAACUUAAGUGCGCCACUGCUGAAGGAGAUAAACACUGGAAGUAGAAGUACUGAGCAUCUCCAUCAUAGUCAGCAUUGGCAGUGAAAACAGCUCAGUUGAUCAUCAUGUGAAUGCAGAGAAGCAGGAAAGGAGGAGGGCUGAAACUGCACGUCAGAGGUGAUUUCACAAUUGUACUGAUGCUGUUGUGUGUAUAAAGAACGAUCAGCAGCUUUCAGCCAGCCAAACGCUGUCUAUACACACGAGGAAGAGAUGGAGACUAUGAAGACUCUGCUGAAGGUUUAUCUGCUGCUGCUGAUCGGACCUCCCUUCACUCUGGAACAAUCAGUGGGCCAGUACAUCACCGAGCUCCAGGUGUCUCUGGAUGAAGCUGAAGAGACGUAUCUUAGCAGUCAAGGUUUCAUCAAAAUCGAUGUUGAUCUGAACAAAGGAGCUGAAGGAAAAUACAUCUACCUUUGGUACAAAAAAGGCAGCAGCUCACCAAUCACCAGGAUUCAGCUUACAUUCAAUGAUGGCAUGAGCAGGGGUCUGAUCACUGCAGGUUACCAGAAGAUUAACAAGAACCUCAAUGCCGGAACAAGCGGAGACUACAUCUACCUGUGGUACUACAGAGGUAACUCAGAGUACGAUGUUCCCAUUGUGAACCUUCAUGUCUCUAUAGGAGCAAGAGAGGAAGCCCAGAUGUUUGCAUUUGGAUAUGAGAGACUGGCCUGUGAUCUGAACCGGAAAGCUAGAGGAAAAUGGAUCUACCUGUGGGUGAAGAGGGAGAGACCAACCUACAUCUGUGACAUCACUGCCAAUGCUGACUAUGAUGGAGAUGCUGACUACUUCCAGAACGGCUACAUCAGAGUGGAUGAAGAUACCAACAGAGGUGCAGGAGGAUCCUUUGUCUUCAUCUGGUACCGUCAGACCACUAACUCUCAAAGAGCCAUCACAGAUCUGAAGAUCUCCACUGAUGAUAUAGACGAGAUGUUGUUUCCGUAUAUGGGCUUUACAAGGGUAACUACUGAUCUAAGCAAGGGGGCAGGAGGAAGUUACGUGUACCUGUGGUACAAGAAAGACUCCGGUCUUCCCAUUCGGGCGGUCUCUAUGAUCGUCAACACAGCAGCUGUGGAGCAGUACAGAUAUCCCAGGGUCUUCAUUAGACAAAGAAACCUCAACAGUGGGAACAAAGGUAAUACGCUGUACCUGACCUUCAGUUCGUUUUAGUAACAGAGCUGGGAAUGCUCACUGGGCAGAAACCAAAGAGUCUAUGGUGUUCCUGUUUAACCAGUUUGAUUGUUUUUCUUUCCUUUCUGAAAUGAUGUUCACCCACUGUGAUCUCAGAUCUUUGACUCCAACAAUGAUCAUUGAUCCUACAAUCAAUCUGUUUGAUUAGCUCUGUCUCACUGCAUUCUGAUGAUUGUCUCUGUUUCAAUAAAGUCUGUUCAGCAUAUGAAAUAUCUUUGUAUCAUGUGUAAAAGCUCGGUGCGUGUCAAGAGAAUCUGAAGAAGUGAGAGAAGAGAGCAGCUCAGCAGGAUCACUACAUGACUUCAUUUAGCAG